UGGGCGAUUGAUGACGAGGCCACUCUGCAGUUCAUGAACAUUUUCUACUCACACUUGGUAAAAGGGAUCAGUGCCAGUGAAUCAUUGAACAAAGCCAUGAAACGUAUGAGAGAAUCUGACGAGUUUAAUGAAGUGAAGCACUGGGCUCCGUUUGUGUUGAUUGGAGAUGACGUCACAAUAGACCUUGGUGGAAACUAAAAAUCGUUUUCAAAUGUAUGGAACACAGAAAUUGUAUAUGGCGAGGAAGACCGAUAAGCAGAAUCUUGACCAAGACGUGUAUCAUUGACGUGCAUUUGUUGGCUUGAUAUGAAGCUCUCUUCCUCACAAGAGAGAGGACUCAAUAUGCUGAUGAAAGACUUUUAACGUACAUAGUGUGAAAAGGAGUGAAAGAUUUCGUAGUUAUUAAGGGGAAAAUGAUUGAUAUAAACCUCUCCAAGAAUAUAUAUAUAGCUUUCUUGAAUGUUCACGGGUGUUAUCGGUGCGAUGAGGCCGAUCUAUUUGAAUGAUUAUCAAGAUAAAUAUUGAUUUUAGCGUUAAUAAGAACCCACAUAGGAAGAGAAAGCAAAUAAGUCAGACAGACAUCGCUGCAGUAUGUUAUUUUAUCUAUCAUUACAACCCUGAGAACCAUUUAAACGUCUAGCUGAAGCAACGUGUUUUAAUUUUAUUGUUACAGCGAUGAAGUCUUUUUUGAGCGGUUUUCCAGUAGCUUUAUCUAAGUAGCGAGUCUCACCACUGUCUCACGGUGCAGGUAUAAUAUAAAUAGCAACAUCUCAGUAUUUUCAGAAAUGUUCAAAAUCUAUUAAGUGUUGGGUUCCUUAGACAUUGUAUAACCCGCUUGGAGAAGUCAAGUUUUUUUUAAAUUUAUAUUUUCUUAUUUUUUAAGUUAUUUUUAUGUCACUUUUCUUUAAGAGAGUGAUAUCCAGUGAUAUCCGUUUUAUUAUUUUUUUGUUUGGAAUAACUGACGGACUUUGGUUGUAACCUGAUAAGUCGUUAAUGGGUCCAUAAUAAAAACUGUUUUGUUACCAAACAGUAGUAAAUU
Molecule: long non-coding RNA, 1039 nt
Organism: Orbicella faveolata
Lineage: Eukaryota; Metazoa; Cnidaria; Anthozoa; Scleractinia; Merulinidae
Source: RefSeq, a predicted model, not a curated record